AUCGCUUCUCGGCCUUUGGCUAAGAUCAAGUGUAGUAUCUGUUCUUAUCAGUUUAAUACCUGAUACGUCCUCCAUUCGAGGACUUUAUAUUAAACGGAUUUUUAGAGCGAGAGCUGAAGAGCUUGCUCGUCCGCUCCAGCAUCGAACCUGGUAUUGCAGUACCUCCAGUGCACCUUUU
Ictalurus punctatus (channel catfish) is the source of this 178-nucleotide small nuclear RNA. Its record names the gene U2. It matches the Rfam family "U2 spliceosomal RNA". From Rfam's summary of the family: U2 is a small nuclear RNA (snRNA) component of the spliceosome (involved in pre-mRNA splicing). The record is from Ensembl. Lineage: Eukaryota; Metazoa; Chordata; Actinopteri; Siluriformes; Ictaluridae.